This 251-nucleotide ribosomal RNA is filed under the name uncultured prokaryote. RNAcentral describes it as "partial 16S rRNA". It matches the Rfam family "Bacterial small subunit ribosomal RNA", at positions 525 to 775 of the family's 1533-position model. The record is from RNAcentral.
ACGUAGGGGGCAAGCGUUACUCGGAAUUACUGGGCGUAAAGGGUGUGUAGGUGGCUGAUUAAGUUAAGGAUGAAAUCCCGAGGCUCAACUUCGGAACUGUCCUUGAUACUGGUCAGCUUGAGGCUAGUAAAGGAGAGCGGAAUUCCCGGUGGGGCGGUGAAAUGCGUAGGAAUCAGGAGGAACACCAGAGGUGUAGGCGGUUCUCUAGGCUGUACUUGACGCUGAGACACUAAAGUUUGGGUAGCAAACAG